This 607-nucleotide ribosomal RNA is filed under the name Anopheles gambiae str. PEST. RNAcentral's name for it is "partial AGAP013655-RA". It matches the Rfam family "Eukaryotic small subunit ribosomal RNA", at positions 21 to 606 of the family's 1831-position model. Lineage: Eukaryota; Metazoa; Arthropoda; Insecta; Diptera; Culicidae. The record is from RNAcentral.
UGAUAUACGCUCGUCUCAAAGGUUAAGCCAUGCAUGUCUAAGUACAAGCUUCCUAGAAAGUGAAACCGCAUAAGGCUCAGUAUAACAGCUAUAAUUUACAAGAUCCUCAUCCAAACAGUUACUUGGAUAACCGUGGAAAAGCCAGAGCUAAUACAUGCAUUAUGCCGGGACUCUUGGCCUCCGGGUCGGCGGAACUGGUGCACUUAUUAGUUAAACCAAUCGCCUCCGGGCGCUUUGAGUUGAAAUCUGGAUAAGGAUGCCGAUCGUACGGUCGCUUGCGACUGACGACAGACCUUUUAAAUGUCUGCCCUAUCAACUAUUGAUGGUAGUGUAGAGGACUACCAUGGUUGCGACGGGUAACGGGGAAUCAGGGUUCGAUUCCUGAGAGGGAGCCUGAGAAAUGGCUACCACAUCUAAGGAAGGCAGCAGGCGCGUAAAUUACCCAAUCCCGGCACGGGAUGGUAGUAACGAGAAAUAACAAUAUGGACCUCUCUAACGAUGGUCCAUAAUUGGAAUGAGUUGAGCAUAAAUCCUUUUGCAAGGAUCAAGUGGAGGGCAAGUCUGGUGCCAGCAGCCGCGGUAAUUCCAGCUCCACUAGCGUAUAUUA